This 272-nucleotide ribosomal RNA is filed under the name uncultured bacterium. Its description in RNAcentral is "partial 16S ribosomal RNA". It matches the Rfam family "Bacterial small subunit ribosomal RNA", at positions 793 to 1055 of the family's 1533-position model. The record is from RNAcentral.
GUCCUGGCCCUAAACGAUGUCCACUAGAUCGCGGAGCGGUUUGACCCGCUCGCGGUCGGAGCAAAAGUGUUAAGUGGACCGCCUGGGAAGUACGGUCGCAAGGCUAAAACUCAAAGGAAUUGACGGGGGCUCACACAAGCGGUGGAGCAUGUGGUUCAAUUCGAAGCAACGCGCAGAACCUUACCUGGGCUUGACAUGCUUGGAUUAUCCCGAUGAAAGUCGGGUAGGCCCCGCAAGGGGUACAACAAGUACAGGUGCUGCAUGGCUGUCGU